UGGCAACCCACUCCAGUGUUCUUGCCUGGAGAAUCCCAGGGACGGUGGGGCCUGGUGGGCUGCCGUCUAUGGGGUCGCACAGAGUCGGACACGACUGAAGCAACUUAGCAGCAGCAGCAAAGUGCCCAAGAUCACUUGAAGCUUGUAAACUGGAGAACUGGACCUGGUGUGCCUGGUACCCCCAUUUCCUGGUGGGACCAGUGCUCUUGACACUGCUUUGUUUUUAUCCAGGGUCCCUAAUACCUUCUGACUCUUUCUUGGGCUCUAGUCUGCCUUAACUGUAGGUGUUCUUUAGGACUCAGUCUUGUCGUUCAGUCCCUUCCAACUCUGCAGCGCCAUGGACUGCAGCACACCACGCACCCCUCCUUCACCGUCUCCUGGGGUUUGCUCAGAUUCAUGUCCAUUGAGUUGGUGAUGCUAUAUAACCAUCUCAUCCUCUGCUGCCCCUUCUCUUUUUGCCUUUAGUCUUUCCCAACAUCAGGACUUUUUCCUUCAUUGGAAAGGACUCAGCCUAGACCCAGUAAAUUCAUUGAUUCUCUCAAAUACUGGGUGGAUACAAUGUCAUUGAGGCUCUGUUGACUUGAGCAUAAUAAUGUGUUUGCUUUCCCCAGGAAGCCAUAGUGAAAACCCUUGUAGACUUACAGAAUGAGGUAGGUGCCAUGGGGGAAACUCAGGGAACCUCCCACCCAAGGUCAUGGAAGGCCUUUUUGAGAAGGUGAUAUUAGGCUGAGACCUGAAGGAUCAGUGGCCAUGAAGGCCCCAAAUGGAAAUAGUCAGGCAUGCUAGGAAACCCCAGAAAAAUCUAGAAGCAGAAGUGAAGACAGAGAACAGGUGGCCAGGAGCGGUGCUGGAUAAUUCCAGGCCUUACAAGCCAUUUUGAAAGCUUGGAUUUUAUCCUGAAAGCCAUGGAAAACAUUUAAAGGUGUACACUCGAGUGUGACUUCAUCUGAUCUACGUUUUUAAAAGAUCAGUCUGACUUUGAAAAGGGGACCACAUCAGGAUGGUCGGCUGGAUAGAUCUUGGUGCCAUUCACCGAGAGUCAGCUGUUCCAAAGGUGAGCGUGCCCACUGCAUGCCAGGGAGACAUCAGUGAAUAAGGCACACGGGUACUUGCCAUCUGGGAGACUGAUGGUCAUUCAGAGGAGGAGGAACAGGUACAGGGAGGGGAGAGGGUGGAUCCAGGGCAGUUCUGAACCUGGUGAAGCUAGAGAUGGCUGUGAGCUAUUCAGACAGAAAGGCCCAGUAGGCAGUUGGCCUUCUGGAGUUGUAUGACUCCUCCACGAGAUGUCUGAACCGCAUUUGAGAGUUGUGAGCAUAUAGGAAUCCAAAACGUUAAUAGAUCCAUGGGUUUCAGUGUACUCUAUUUGAUUGACAUUUUUCAUAAUAAAGUGGUUUUUUAAACUAUGGGAAUGGGUGCGAUUGCUUGAGGAGUGUGAAUAGAAAAGAGCUGAGAAACAGACCCUGGGACAUCUGGUCAUUUACAGGCCGGACACAGGAAGGAGAGGCAGCGAGGGAGCCAGAAGGGGCAGCUGUGAGGUCAUUGUUAUGGGUCAGUGCCCGGGCAGGAGGUAUUUCAAAGAGAGAGUGGGUCAGCUGUGCCAGAUGCUGGUAAAAGGUUAAGAUGACAGAAGAAAAUCGCUUACCAGCAGGGGCAUUGUGGCUGACCUUGCAAGAGUGGUUUCAGGGGGAAGGCGGAAGUGUUCCUGGGAGGCCUGUUUGCCACACACAUCUUAGCUCUGCCCAGUGCCAGGCCCCCCUGCUCAGCUGCUUACUGAACUUUCCCCCCAAGCCCUGGAAAUGACCAUGUAUGGAAACUUAACUCAUCUUCCUCCUGCUAAGCCUGCUUGCUCCUCCUGGGCUCGCUCUCCCCACUAAGGGAACAUCUUUCACAGAGUGCCCCAGGCCAGGAACCAGAAUAUCUUCCCCAUGCCCUUCCCCCCCUGCUCCUGCCCAUCUGGUCAGGUGCUAGACAUGUUAAUUCUGCCUCCGGCAUGUCUUGACGUCUUGACGCUGCCUCUGCAGGAACACUCCCCUAGCUCAGCUCUGGGCAGCUCGUGGCUAGGUUCCUGUGAAGAGUGUGGACUUGAAGCCAUUGGUGACGGGGCAACUGGAGAACUCUGAACAGGACCGUCUCUUGCUAGAAAGAUCUCUGUGACGUGAACCUUGACCAGGUCUUCAUCCCUCUUCCCUUCCACCCCACCUCCACCAAGAAAAGCUGUAGACAACGUUUUAGGAACCAUUGGGGAUAUUUUAAUAUGAAGUAGGUAUUAGAUAUUAUAGGAUUACUGUUUUCCUUAGAUGUGAUAUUGUUAGAGAUUCAGUUUGUCCUUGAUCUCAGGAGCUGUGUGCCGAAGUAUUGAAGGAUGGAGUAGCAUAAUGUCUGCACUCUGGUUUCGUAUGGUUUGGUAAAAAUAAACAAAAUACAUAUAAAGACUCAGGACAAAAUAGUCAUCAUUUUUCCAUCUAGAUGCAGGGCAUAGAGGUCUUUAUUGUACUGUUCUUUCAUUUCUGUGUUUGAAGUUUUUCAAAAUGAAAUGUUGGGGACAGCUCUCUCUAGCAGCCACGGUGAAGACAGAUUCACUGGGAUUCCGGGGGUGUUGGGUGGUGGGCAGGGGAGUCCGAUAGCUCCUGCUUUAAGGCAGGACUCUUCUCUAGAUCCAGUCCUUCGGCCUCCCCUCUGCCUUUCACCCCUGCCAUAUUCACACACUCCUGGCUUUGCUAGCAGGUAGAGUUCUGCUUCCGAGAAUGUCCUUCCUCCCGCCGGCAGCAACCUGACAGACUGCCCCCCAUCUUUCAAGUCUGAAGCUCAACAAGUGUCUCCCCGGAGAGCUGGCCCAUGUCUCUGUGAGGCCACCCCUCCGCGUCCUCUUCCCCACCCCCGCCACACCCACCACCUCCAUGUCCAGUAGGGGCUCCUUCCUACUGCUUUGCGCUGUGAUUACUUCUGUCUGCCUGCUUCCACAGCACAACGAGCUCUGUGAAGUCAGGGCCGGGUUUAUUCCUCAGCCUGGCACGCACAGUGCACAAUCAGUAGAUACCUGGUGAUGAGGCGACCAAAGCUCUUUGCCCUACUACUGCCUCAUCCCAUGGUCUCCACGUUAAAUAUAUUUCCCUUCUGUAAUUUGUUCCAACUGAACCCAAAACCAUCUUCCAUACCUAAUCAGGACCCAAGUCUCCUCCUCUUCACUUCAGGAGUUUUUCCUUUUGUUUGGUUGGGUUUUUAAAAAAAUUUUUUGCCUUGCCAUGCAGCCUGUGGGAUCUUAGUUCCUGAACAGGGAUUGAACCCAGGCCCUUAGCAGUGAACGGAGUCCAAACCACCGGCCCGCCAGGGAAUUCCCAGGAGUAUCUUUUGAAUAAAUAUGCCACAUAGCUUGACGACUCCAUACCCCUGGACACGUUGUUCCUGUGACUGGAAUUAUCGCUGGCUUCGUGCACCUGUCUUGCCUGUCCUCCAAGACGAAGCUGGAGUCUCUGCCCUGAAGUUCCUCCGGCUCCUGGCUGGCCAAGGCCAAGACGGUUCACUCCCUCGAGUUCCCACAGUGCCUGCGAGUCCACAGCGUCCAUGACUGCUCUGGCUGUUUACUGAUAAGUUUUUCCCCUGAGACCAGGCAGACUCAGCAUCUGGUCAUCUUUGUAUCCACUGAACCAGGCACUCAAUGCUCGUUCUGUUUAAAAUCUAGUGUUUGGGGGAAUUCCCUGGCAAUCCAGUGGUUAGGACUCUGAUCUCUCACUGCCAAGGGCCCAGGUUCCAAUCUCUGGUCUGGGGUCUGAAAAAAUCCCACAAGCCCUGUGACUUAGCCGAAAGAAAUAAUAAUGGUAAAUUAAUAAAAGAAGUGUUUUGUUGGA
Bubalus bubalis (water buffalo) is the source of this 3845-nucleotide long non-coding RNA. RefSeq lists it as uncharacterized. The record is from RefSeq and is a predicted model, not a curated record. The transcript has 2 exons. Lineage: Eukaryota; Metazoa; Chordata; Mammalia; Artiodactyla; Bovidae.